Molecule: long non-coding RNA, 1912 nt
Organism: Betta splendens (Siamese fighting fish)
Lineage: Eukaryota; Metazoa; Chordata; Actinopteri; Anabantiformes; Osphronemidae
Source: Ensembl
GGCAAAACAAAGAGAGGAGGUGACAUUAGUGAUCUGCCAACAGGAACUUUGAAUGGAUUGUUGUAGAGGAUGUUGUUACCGAUUGUUGUGACUAUGAAACACCACACCGCACACAGAAAAACUAGGCUUUUUGUGAAAUGCCAAUGUGUUUAAUGUUUUAGUUUAAAGACCUUAAUAAUGCAUAAAUAUCAAUUAUGUCACAAACAUAAGCAUAUUAGUUAUAAAUGAGACAUUAAUCCCAGUGUUCACAAGUGCACUAAUUACUACAUUUACAGUAGAUGCAUUCUCUCAUAGUAAAGAACCAACAGAGAAUACUAAAUGUGGUUUGUAGCUCAUUUCAGCUCAUUGUUCGGCUUCACAGUCUUAAUUCGGUUCAGCAUUACUCCCAUUCAUCUCAUUCAGAUCCACUACAGUACAUAAGAAUAAAAAUAUUAUCACACGUACAUGCUUUACAUUUUGGAACAGAACGCAUUAGCAGCAAGUAUUAGAGUUUUCUUACAGUACAUCAGAAUUUUACUUAAGUAACAAUUUUCUUCCUUUAAAAGCUGUUUCUACUACAUUUAAGCAGGGUUCAAUGAAUGAUCACGAGUCCAUGUCAUGUAGUAAACUUUUAGUCGACUACCUCAUUAGUGAACACGUUUAUUAAAUGUUCAGCUUUCCUAAAAACCACGCGUGAUGAUAAUUGCAUCAGAUGAUUGACAGGCAGCUGGAUAGGGGGCGGGGCUUAUGCGGCCGUUACUGACCUAAAUGGCAGCGUCACUGACGUGCAAUGGAAACUUAAUUGAGGCGCCCGCGUCCCCUAGGUUGGAAGUCAGCGAAAGACAGCGAAGUAGCCCAGAUCAUUCAUGGAAAGCCAUCUUCUAUAUUAAAAAUGCCACUGGUACUACAAAACAAGGCAAGGUGAAGCACGCUGUCAGUGGGUAUGGAAGGACUAUUCCAGGACUGGAGAGUGCUGUUAAAUAGGUGGCAACCAGUUCAUUAGGAUGCCUUUCAGAGCAUGAAAAAUGACCUUUUCCCUUGUAAUUGUAGUGUGGGUUCAUAGAUAGUUGACUGGAAGCAGAGCACACUGUACAUAGACAAGGAUCACUGGAAACAAUUAGCGUCGCAUCUCUGCCGGCAUCUCUGCAAGCAGCUCCGUUACCACUUUUUUACACCUUUUUGCUUAAAUGCCACUCUGACGUGAUCAUAUGUGACAGAUAAGUUAGACAAAUAUUAAUUUAAUUUAUUAAGGGGACUGCACUGAACCGCAUCUAAUGUAUGGAUGCAAAAAGCAAUGACAGCGCAAGCGUUUGUUCUCAUACACGAUACAGUAGUUCCUAAUGUUCUGCACUGUGAAGUUAUUUAUAUGCUGCAUGGACAUCUUUAAGUGAGUUGCAAUGAUUUGGAGAUUUAAUAUACAGUAAAACUGUUUAAAAAGCUAGAUGAUUUUGCAGCUUCAAUAUAAUGUUAGUUGCAGUAAAUACAGUGUUAGUAUUCAGUGUAUAUAUGACUUUUCUUCAUGCUCUUCGCAAUCUGAUAUUAAUAUAAACCGAGACUCUUUGGGGACUGCAGUAAAUCUGUGACACGUGGAAAGCAUCAGAAUUGUAUCAGUGUUUAGGUAGAAAUUCACUUAGUUUGUUUGUGUGUUGCCAUAUUCAGCUUAGGUAGCAGCUGCUGCACCACAGUGGGAGACUUCACAGUUUUGGAUCACUUUUCUUUCUUUGAAUCGCCAUAGCUGCCAUCAGAAGUGUCCCUCCUCGUUGGUGUUGUUUUGAUAAAGCAAAUGUGGUUGACGAGAGCAAAUAUUUAAGAUAUCUGCAAAUGUGAUGCACAUCUGUCAAACAGCCCAAGGGUGAAAACCAGCACAUAACAAGGCAACAAAUGCUGAUCCGGGACUUCUCUGCGGCAAAAUAAAAUAUGGCUCAAGUUUUCA